This is a non-coding RNA of Microcebus murinus (gray mouse lemur), 395 nucleotides long. The record is from RefSeq and is a predicted model, not a curated record. NCBI's taxonomy places the organism in Eukaryota, Metazoa, Chordata, Mammalia, Primates, Cheirogaleidae.
UCAGAGAUCCCUGACAGUGUGGAUGCAGUUCUGCUUGGGCGGAAAGAAGGAAAUGGCACAAGGCCCUGACUCAAGCCCCUCAUCAUCCCAUGCUCCUCAGCCCCUCUGUAGGUGAGGGCAUAUGGGUAGAGGGAGAAGAGGACCAACACAUCUCCCCAAGUAAGGGGCCUCUGCCUAUGCUACGUCUGACACUCACAGAUGACCUGGGCCACCGUCAUCACGGGGCCAGACGGGGAUGCUCCUGAGCAACGACGACAACCUGUGGGGUAGGGGCAGGGAUGGGGAGGAGGAGGAGACUGGCAGCUCAGACCUCUGGUGUAUACCUGGGGCCUUGGGGCGGGGGAAGGGAUGAGGACAGGAGGGGGUCCUGGGCCAAAGACUAGAUGGUCAGGCAA